Molecule: ribosomal RNA, 879 nt
Filed under: Microbacterium laevaniformans
Lineage: Bacteria; Bacillati; Actinomycetota; Actinomycetes; Micrococcales; Microbacteriaceae
Description: bacterial SSU rRNA
Rfam family: Bacterial small subunit ribosomal RNA
Source: RNAcentral
AUGCAAGUCGAACGGUGAAGCCCCGCUUGCGGGGUGGAUCAGUGGCGAACGGGUGAGUAACACGUGAGCAAUCUGCCCCUGACUCUGGGAUAAGCGCUGGAAACGGCGUCUAAUACUGGAUACGAACCGUGGAGGCAUCUUCAACGGUUGGAAAGAUUUUUUGGUCAGGGAUGAGCUCGCGGCCUAUCAGCUUGUUGGUGAGGUAAUGGCUCACCAAGGCGUCGACGGGUAGCCGGCCUGAGAGGGUGACCGGCCACACUGGGACUGAGACACGGCCCAGACUCCUACGGGAGGCAGCAGUGGGGAAUAUUGCACAAUGGGCGAAAGCCUGAUGCAGCAACGCCGCGUGAGGGAUGACGGCCUUCGGGUUGUAAACCUCUUUUAGCAGGGAAGAAGCGAAAGUGACGGUACCUGCAGAAAAAGCGCCGGCUAACUACGUGCCAGCAGCCGCGGUAAUACGUAGGGCGCAAGCGUUAUCCGGAAUUAUUGGGCGUAAAGAGCUCGUAGGCGGUUUGUCGCGUCUGCUGUGAAAUCCCGAGGCUCAACCUCGGGUCUGCAGUGGGUACGGGCAGACUAGAGUGCGGUAGGGGAGAUUGGAAUUCCUGGUGUAGCGGUGGAAUGCGCAGAUAUCAGGAGGAACACCGAUGGCGAAGGCAGAUCUCUGGGCCGUAACUGACGCUGAGGAGCGAAAGGGUGGGGAGCAAACAGGCUUAGAUACCCUGGUAGUCCACCCCGUAAACGUUGGGAACUAGUUGUGGGGUCCAUUCCACGGAUUCCGUGACGCAGCUAACGCAUUAAGUUCCCCGCCUGGGGAGUACGGCCGCAAGGCUAAAACUCAAAGGAAUUGACGGGGACCCGCACAAGCGGCGGAGCAUGCGG